RNAcentral lists this ribosomal RNA (198 nucleotides) under uncultured Thauera sp. RNAcentral's name for it is "partial 16S ribosomal RNA". It matches the Rfam family "Bacterial small subunit ribosomal RNA", at positions 334 to 525 of the family's 1533-position model. The record is from RNAcentral. Lineage: Bacteria; Pseudomonadati; Pseudomonadota; Betaproteobacteria; Rhodocyclales; Zoogloeaceae.
UACUCCUACGGGAGGCAGCAGUGGGGAAUUUUGGACAAUGGGGGGAACCCUGAUCCAGCCAUGCCGCGUGAGUGAAGAAGGCCUUCGGGUUGUAAAGCUCUUUCGGCCGGGAAGAAAUCGCGCACUCUACAUAGUGGGUGGAUGACGGUACCGGACUAAGAAGCACCGGCUAACUACGUGCCAGCAGCCGCGGUAAUA